Molecule: RNA transcript, 939 nt
Organism: Arachis duranensis
Lineage: Eukaryota; Viridiplantae; Streptophyta; Magnoliopsida; Fabales; Fabaceae
Gene name: nuclear-pore anchor-like
Exons: 8
Source: RefSeq, a predicted model, not a curated record
GACUCAAAGAAAAGGAUUCUAAACUAGACGAAAUGGGGAAAACUCUUUCUGUAAAGCAGGAUUCAGUUGCACGUUUGGAGCAAGACCUAUCAAACUGUAGAGUGGAACUAGCAGAGACAGAAAAGAGAAUUAAUGAUAUUACACAAUCUGAGGUUAGCCUAAAAUAUGAAGUGGACAUGCAUAAGAAAAUGCUGGUUUCAUGGAAGAUCAAGAAUGACUUGUUGUCAAAGGAGGUUCAACAACUUUUAAAGCAAUUAGAUGAAAUCAAACAAGGGAAAAAGUUGACUACUGAUACAACUGGUGAUCAUGCAAUGAAAGAAGAGAAGGACACCAGAAUACAGACUCUUGAAAAAACAGUGGAGAGACAACGAGAUGAAUUAAAGAAGGAGAGGGAAGAAAAUCGAAUGGAGAAAGGCAGACGAAUUAAGACUGAAGCAAUAAAGGAUUCUUACAACAAUGUUGAGCAGGAGAAAGCAAAGUUUAUUAAUGAACUUGAGAGGCACAAAGAGGCUCUAAAACGAUUAUCCGGGGAAGUUGAAAAAGUCAAGGAUGUUGGCAAUCUUCCUGAGGGAGCAAAUGCAGUUCAACUUCUUUCUGGAUCCAAUGUUGACGACUUAGCUGCUCCAUAUGUAUCUGCUGUUGAAAGCUUUUAGAAGGAAGCUCAUUCAGUAUUUUUUGAGCUUGGAGGCCAUGUGAACCUUGGUGAUGCAACAAAAGUUGUGGAUACUUCUGCUGCUGCUACAGGUUUUUGCAGUGUACAUUAAGAUUACUUAAAAAACGUGAGCUAUCGCGAGAGUCUGGCGAGCAGUAAAAUGCUUCGGUGGUACAUGCAUCAACCCCUAGCGUCAUAUCCUUGCCAGCUGUUGGUGUAAGCGGUUUAUCCCCUAAAGCCACCACAUAUAGUGAUAAAAGACCUCCAUUUUCCCGGCCAAGUGCAGA